UCUCUCUCUCUCUCUCAAAAAUAAAUAAACAUUAAAAAUUUUUUUUUCAAUAGUAGAAUAAAAGUAAAAUGAGGAAAUAGCAGAAUUCAUAAUUCAUCGAAUGCUUUCCACGUGUCACGGCCUGUGAUAGGCUCUUGCAAUUUUCAGCUUCUAACUUCCCUGGAGCUCUGAGAGGUGGGUAUUCUGGGCCUUCCGUCCUGAUCAGGACACAGAGGUUCAGACAUUUAACUUGCCCAAGGCCAGCCACCAGGGAAACGGUAAAGGCAGGAGGGAAACCCGAGGCUCUGGCGGGCUGGGGCAAACCGUUUCCUGGCGACCGACGAUGCGCUAGGUGAAGGAAAGCAAGACCACGGGAGGUUGCGAAGCUGCUCUCUGGGUUUGAACUUGCCCGUGACAAGACGGGCACGGACACCAAGCCACGUUCCCUACGCUCCGUGUGACUGGAGUUCCCGCACGAGAUGAGGUUGAACCUCAUGAAAUUGCCGGCAGCCAAUCGAGUUCGAACUACAAAACGAGCGAGUCCCUUUGGAGCCUGUCCCGCGCCGCUGGUAGAGGACGGAGGUGCGGGGACCUCCCACCUCUGGCUGUGCGAACCCCUCGGGACAGACGUGCAAGAAAGACGGCAGGUGGGAAGAAACCUGCGGAGACCCCUCUCAGGAGCAGACCGGAAGGAGGCAUUGGGAGUUGCAGGGCACUUACCUAAGCCAGGCGCCCUGGGAGUCGCUGGACGCACGCCGUCUCAGAAUCUCCGCGAACAGCUCUGGAGAACACGAUGCCCGUUUUACAGAUGCAGAGACUGAGGUCCAGGGAUGAGCUUGCUCAAGGUCGCUCAGCUGAUUUCCAUUUGCUAGAUGCGAAUAGUGAGUCUCAGAGUGGUUAAGAGGCUUCUUCUCCGAGCUUACUCAGCUGGCCACCAUCAAGUGGAACUUGAACUCUUCCCCGGUGGCCCCCCGUGCUCAGCCGUCUUCGGGAUUUCACCUUGAACCUCUGAACCCAAAGGCUUGCCUGACAGCAGGCCGCUCUUUGGCUUCUGGCUUCCCAGUUGGGAGAGGAGGAAGCAGGGGCCCUCCCUCUGACCCACCCAGCCACCCACCCGAGGUACCAUUAAAGUUAAUUGUUUUUACUGCCAGUU
This is a long non-coding RNA of Prionailurus viverrinus (fishing cat), 1132 nucleotides long. RefSeq lists it as uncharacterized. The transcript has 4 exons. NCBI's taxonomy places the organism in Eukaryota, Metazoa, Chordata, Mammalia, Carnivora, Felidae. The record is from RefSeq and is a predicted model, not a curated record.